GAGAAAAACAGAGGAGGUAAAAUUGAAAAUAAGUUAAUAAGUACUAGAAAGUAAGUCUUUCUUGCACAGAUUAUCAGGAAAAUAGGCUCUUGGUUAGAUAUACAUCUACAGAGGUAUACUGGGGAGUCCUUACAGGAACUGAGCCAAGGGAAAAUGAAAGACCUGGGAUGACACAAAGGGAAAUGCUGAGCUAUGACGCAGUUUCUCUAAAGAACUCUGGUGACCACAUGGGCAGUCUGAAGCUGGCAUUCACUCACAGCAUAAUCCUACAAGAAGACACAACGGAUCCGAUCUUCAUAUCUACCAGGUGUGACCAAUGAUAAGCUGAAAGUGUAAAUAAAAAACUAUCACAGUAAAAGACACAUUACAAUUGGAAGCAGGCCUAAUCUCAAGAAAGGCAAUUCCUAUUAGCCAGUGGUGAUUCCCAGUCAGGAACUCUGCAGAGAUCUCCUGGCAGCUGGGGAAAUGAGUAACCUCAAGGGCACUGGGCAGCUGACCAUAGCACCUACUAUAAUCCACUUGGAGCACUCAGAUCAGCCUGCUGUGUAUGCAUUUAUACUGCCUGGGAGAAGCUCCUUGAGGAUUCUGGAUGAUCUUGCUUCUUGAGGGGAGUUAGUGAGGAGAACUAGAGCCACCUCUGUGGCAGCUACUUGCUUAUAACCCAGAGUGUUCCUCUACUUCCCAGCCCAUAGCUUCACCUUCCACGUAUACCCCUGCUUGUCUAGAAGGUUCAUCUGAUGGGGUACACAGAUCUCAUCCCUGAGAGCUGAGUCCCUGGGCAUUCUACCUUCUAAGGCAAUGACUGCUGAUCGUAUCAUUUCAACAUCAAAACUCAGCAAAGAAGCAUUUUUUUAAUCAUCUUGGUGCCAAAUAUAUUCUUAUACCAAUUUUCAACUGCAGUUCUAUAUCUUCUAUGAAAUGGGUUAAUUGCCUUUAACAAAAUGUGGCACUAGAGUCUCCUUGACCUCUAGACUAUUGGGGUCAGUAACCUGGAAUAACUAUGACGUGACCAUAGCAUGAUUCCUGAAGGAAGUGAUCCUCCUCUGAGAAUCAACCCACCUAAACCUGUGGAACACAGAGACAGACACAAGAAGCAUAAUUCUGCAUGGGGAUCAGCAGGAGGGAUGUUCAACAAACACAUUCCUGUUUACCUGUUCCUGCCUCCUGGGCCCAUAUAUUUUAUUUAUUUAGAAUAGGGCGCCCUUGCUAUAGAGAGCUUAUGGUGUCAAGAGAAUGUUAUCUCCAGAGUAACACCACAACUGCCCAUUCUUAAACCUUUUCUGUUACUAGAUCAUCCUCACAGGUACUGGGUAGUGUGUUAUACACGAUAAUAAUGGCAGGUCCAGUGGCUUUGUGCUGCUAUCAUAUCUCCUCCUUUUCUGUAAAAUGGAUAAGCCAUUCCAGUGAGAUGUUAUUAGUGUCCUAUCUUGGUGGUUCUUACACUCUAAAUCUGCACAAAGUGGCACUGACUGAGGCCCUCAAAUCAGAAAAGGCAAAUUCAUAACUUUAGUCUAUAUUGAUUCCACUCAUGAUCAGUGGCAGCCUCUUCCAAGGUAGAAAGAGUUCAUAGCAAUCCUUGGAAUGUCUGAGCAUUCUCCUUUCUUCACUCUGUGUUAUCCAAGUAAAUGGUUGUAGGUCUUCUGAAAGGAAGGGAUGGUUCUGUAGAUAAUUAUCAUGCAGUUACAACAUUCUUCCUCCUGGAAAAGCAACCCUGAUUCUUCCCCAGUCAAGGGUCCAAGUCUAAAACAUAGCUCAGGUCUAGAAACUGUUAUGGAGGAAGUUUCAUCUUCCUGGUCACCUGUCUUUGAAUUCUUUUCAUAGUGUAAGCCGUAUCUGUGUUGGCUAGCCAUUUAUCUUGUUCUCAGAAUGCUGGGUUCUAUUACUAAUCAGCUGACUUUCUGUGCUCCCAGACACCUGGCUGCCACUCCCACCUUGCAAUUUAUUUAAUGAUUGCACCUAUCUCUUUUGCUAAGAGUUAAGUGCUUCCAAUUUGGCUUCAUCCUGUCUGCCUCUUCACUGCUAGGGAGUCAUGUCCCGAAUCAACAUAUUUUUUUCUUAAUUCUUAUUCUAGACCAGGGAAUCGUGCUCUGAAAUAACUUCUUUUUAACCUGUAGGAACUGGUUAAAAUUUCUGUGUCCUUCUCAUGACCACAUUCUUUACCAUGAGCGCAUUCUCAUUGGAGAUAGACAUCUCCCAAGAGCCCUCCUGCAGAGCACAAUUGGCUAACAGAUUUGCUGCCCAAGUGUGCCCACUCUCGCUUUGAAUCUUUCAAUUUCUUAUUCCGCCGUCUGUCAAGGUAACCCUGAAAUUUCGCUCCAUUAAGUGCAGGCCAGUACUGCCUCCACGCUUCAGUAGCUAUCCCCACAGCCUGCUAGCUCUUCGUUUUGAGUCUGUGGCAGGACUUUACAUCUUGCAUCGGAGGAGAGUGAGGAACCAAAAAGAGGCCAAAGUCCCUCUGUUUUAGCUAAGCCAGAUUAGACGCUCCAUUAUUCGGGCAGACCUUUAAACUCUGCAAAUAGCCUUCCAUUGCCAAAGAAUAGAUGAACCAAAAACCAGGUUUUUCAGGAAUUGCAAAUGAGCAGUUUCCAGGAAUCGCAACUGGGCGGUUUAUUCCAAAAACUGCAACCAGGUCAAAGUAUGGCAAAACCGGCUGUGGCAGUUAGAUGACUAAAAUAAAUCUCCUGCGCAAACCCCUGCCCGCGCCCAAAUAGUAGCCAAUAAGUUUGAAGUAUUACAUCUUAUAAUAUCCAAUAGUAAGUUAGAAUUAUUGGCCAAUAGAAUCAGCAGACAUUAUAAAAAAGCCAAUAGAAUAAAGAGAAUUUCAAGCCACCCAAACCCUAUAAAAAAUAGGCUAAUUUAGUGGGUCAGGACCUCCAGUUUGAAGCCGCUGUGUUGGUGACACUGGGAGUCCAGGCUCGAGCUUGCAAUAAACUCCUCGUGUAUUUACAUCAGAAGAGUUUCCUGUUGGUCUUCUUGGGGAUUUCGCGACUUGGACACAACAGAGAGUAUUCCUACAUUGUACGGCUUAGCUCUUCCACCACUGGGACAAAAAUCUCCCACAUUGGCAAUGUGGAAGAAAGGUUUAAAUUCCUCUUGUUUUCAGAGAUUUAGUUCACGGUUGGUGGCUCCCAAGUGGAGACAUCACGAUGGAAGGAUGUGGUGUAGCAAAAGUGCUCACUUCAUAGGGCCAGGAAGCAGAGCACAGGGCAAGAGCACAAGCAAGAGAUAUAACAUUGUUCAUAGGCGCAGCCCAGGUGACCCACCUCCCGUUGGGCUCCGUCUUCUAACAGCACUCUCUGCUGUGAGCGUCCGUGGAGCAUCCACUGAGGAGUACAGUGCCUCCCAUAACCACCUCUCCAGGAGACUCUUAAUCCAACUGACAAUUAAGAUUAAGUGUCAUGCACACUAAAACCUGCCCCUGCUUUAGUUUUGUGUUCUAACCCUGUGACCCAGCACCCUUGGGUUUCAGCUCCAUGGUACUCUUCCAGCUCUCGGCAGCAUAUGUCUGUUGGGUCCUAUGGCUCUUUCAGAAUACAAUUAUUUUCUUCUUUACCAAGCACAGAACAUUCCAGCAUAUUAUACUGUAAUGACUAUUUCUUAAUUAUAUCGUAUUCAUAUUAUACUGUAAUUUCCAAAUUUCUGGUCUAGAAGAGAAAUAGAUUUUAAUACGGUUGACAUCAUCCUGCAAAGAGGUAUCUUCACUGCUCUAAGAGAGAGGAGGCACUAUUUUUUAAUAGGGAAGCCAGACUAUUUCUGCUGAGAUUUUAAAAUUUUUGAGUGUUUGGGGUUAGAAAUUUCACAGACUUCUAUUUCCCAGCAAGGGCACUGAACUUGGCUGAGCAGAUUUUCCAAGGUUGAGAAUUUAACCUUUCUCUGGAGCUUUGUUACCCUAAUUACAAAGUCUUGGGCUGAUCUUUGCCUUAUUCUGCCCUCUGGCUGCAGGAGAUAAGAGUCUCUUCAUGGGCUGCCUAAGAUACCCUCUGACUUUCACUCUUUGCCUUUAAUUGGUGAUUAAUCAGUCUCAAGCUUUCACUGUCUUGCUCUAAGGCAAAAGUUAUGUUCUGCAACAGCCAUCUGAUUUCUUUGUCUUUGAGAUACUAUUAUCCCUUUCCCUCAAAUGCUUGAGGAGGGUACUGCCAGUGCAAUUCCCUCUGUCAAUAUUCCAUUCCAGUUUGAAGUUAUGAAAUUUUAACCAUUCCACAGCUUUCUUGUGACAAGGAUGAUGAAGCCCUGUGACGGAGUCUUUAUAGUGCACAGGUUUCACAGAUGUCAGACACGCAGACCAGUCUGGAGGCCCUGCUGUUACUUUUGCUUUUUCAUUAUUUUUUGAAGCCAAUUUCCCUCAAUUCAUAUUUUCACAUCUAAUUCUAUCUUGAUGUCUUUUUGGAGGAUCUUAACAGACACAGAACAGCUCUCGGGGAAAAUGAUCUGAGAUUUAAGAAAGGAAGGGUACAAAGGGGAAAACUGAACUGUAAUGCAGUUGCGAAAAAGCAACUGUCUGAUUUCAUGAGGAGUCUUGGAUCUGGGAUGGUCCUUCCGAAUUGUUGCAAACUGAGGCAAGAGGGUCAACAUUUUUUUUUUUUUUUGAGUACCGGGGAUCAAACUUGGGCCCUUGGGCUUUCGAGGCAGGCACCAGAACCACUGAGCUAAAUCCCCAACCCAGAAGGCCAAUAAUUUCUACCCUGAAACCAUGAAUCAUUGAAUAAAGGCUACCACAGGGAAGAGAUAGAACCUUGAGUGAGAAAUCUCCCUUUAUCUGAAGGCAGUGCUCAGGGAAAGACCCAGCUGUGAACCAUUAAAAGCAAACAAUCCCAGCAGCUAAGGGAAUCAGUGCCUUGGUCCCAAAGGGGAGAAUCUAGCGACCCAGAGCCUCUACUUCACAGAUGAGAUGAAGACUACUGUUAUUAUUAAAGGACAAUGAUAAUAAUUUCUAUCCCCUUUACAGAAGGAAGAUAAUAACUUUUAUGAAAAUCCACAGAUAAGCAAAGUACAUUCCUGGUAUCAUGGAAGGAGUCAGGGGAAAGAAUCCCUCAAAGCAGAGUAAUCGCGAGCAAGAGAUGUUGUACCGCCCUCCACCAAAGUUUCUUGCACUUCUAAUUUGAUCUGGGGAACUGCUCCCAAAGGAUCCAGAAUAACAGCCCUGGGAGAGAUUUGGCAAAGCCAUUGAUAAAAUGAGAUUUGGAGUGCAAGUCACUAUCUAGCUGGGAAGACAUGCCAGUGGAUCUGAGCGGUACAUGGGAUGGACUGGUUACACCAGAAAGAUGGACUGCCCAGUUCUCUUUGAGAGGGAACCUGUUGUCAGAGAUGAAGUAAGUGAAGUCUCCAACUGUUGCCCUUCAGGAUCUUCCACAGUGUGCACACCAUGCCUAACUCCACUCCUGUGUCUUCUAACCAGUGAUAAGAACAAGGCAGGAAAGUGGCUCUGGAAUCAAUGGACCACUGGGAUCGGGAACAUGGCGACGAGUCACCUCCAGCAGGAUGGAACUGAUGUGCUAUCACCUUGCAUAGACUUCGGUGUCAGAAUCACAGUUGGAGUUUUGAUGGCAGAUCUGGGAGAUCUCUUUCUGAGUGUCUUCGCGCGGUGUGAUGAAAACUAUGACAAGUGCCGCCAAGGGCCAUCCGGGGGAAAGCGGGCUCCUGAUGGCACCGUGGCACAUCCCCAGGGACCUUGUUCACCAGAUCUGGACGCAUGUGACUCUUAGGUCUUCCCCAAAGUCAAAACGCCCACGAAAGGUUAACAUCUGAACGGACUGAGAACUCUGAAGCAGCCAGGACAGUGCAAUGAAAGACGCUCACGAGAGAAACAUUCCACUCCUACUUCAGAAAGUGCGCUCAUCCCCGUUCCAGAGACAGACGAUACCAAGUGAUCGGAAAUGCAAUGAGAAUAUUUUCUGGGAUUACUGAAGUGUCUGGAAGCUUGACUGAACCAAGUAUUAGAGUUGGUAAAAAGCUUGCUAUUUUUAAAGAACAAUGGACGAGGCCAAGACAAGAAUGUGGAGGGAAUUAUAGACAGGUAAAGUUCCCAAUAUCAGACAGACCAUUUUACAUCCACCCUCUGAGAAAGAGAGAAAUAAAAAGAGGAAUGCUGGAUUCGGCUUUCACAAAGUCACAGACAGCUGGAGAGUUCUGCACCAUUUAUCCAACAAAUUUGGAAUUUUUAAGUUUUGGAGAGGAGAGAAGAAAUGACGUUCACUUUGGCUCUGGGUUAUCUUUGUAAUGGUUGCCCCUUGACACCAGGGAAUCUUCGACUUGAAAGGUCGAGAUGAUGCGUGCACAGCACAACUACGAGCUGAGAAUCAUCGCCAGGCUCUGAGCAUUAACAUUCCCUCCUCAGCACCACUCCGCCUCCUCUUUUGUGUGAUGGCAUUGCUUGGUUCCCUCUGCAUAGCCUAUAACUUUCCACCAACCCUGCACCAGCGAGCAUGGAAAUGAGCCAGUAGUGCGCUGGAGACCUGCCUUCAAACGCUGUGUUUCUGGUUCAUUCAAAGUUCUGUUUAGGGCUCCCAGAAGGCAUUGGGGAGUCAGGACAGAUGUGCCAAUGAACCAGAAACAUCUGGAAAGUUUCACUGAGUGAUUUAGGAUAUGCUUUGGAGACACAAUGAACUCCUUCGUUUAUGGCGACAGAAUCUCUAUUUCAAGACUAGGGAGGCCCCAGCAACCUGCCAGGUCAAAUUUGUAGGCAAAAGAUGAAUGAUAUUCUUACUGUCUGUGCCACGUUUUAAGGAUCUUGUUUGGACAGUAAAUUGGCUUGAAAUAAGAUAUGAAGAAUCUGGCUGUGAUUCUAACUCCCUGGCGAGACGGUUUUGGAGCCCAGGGAGAAAGGGCAAAGGGGAUGUGAGUCUCUCCAAUCAAGUAACUAAAUAGCAGCUGUUCCCAUAGGCAAGAAAUACAAAUGGCUCUGCUACUGAGCUAGGCUUACAAUAAAUCCAAACUAAUCUUUGGGAAACUGCUCUAAAUUAUUAGUGUUAACAAGCAUUUACUGACAAUUGCAUUAUUUUCUCUCCUCAGAAUCUCAGAGCCUAACAAACCUCUCCUGUCCCUUCUCCUUGUUUUGUCAUUUCAUUACAGUUCUUUUUUUCCCCACUUUUACAAAGGGAAACAAAAUGCCACUCCAAGAUUCUGUGCAAAGAUGCGAUUGCCAGAAAAACAACCCUUAACUCUCCUUCCUAGCAUUAGCUGUAGAUUCUGCCCAAUUAUUUAUUGCAACUAGGAGGUGAUUGUGAUCCACAGGAGUCACACAGACAAAUACAGUCGUCCCUCCAGAUCCAUUUGAAGUGGAUUUCAGGACCCUGAAGAUACCAAAAUCUAUAGAUGCUCAAUUCCUGUAUAUAAUGUGACAUAAGUUUUGCAUAAAAGCUUCACAAUCCUCUCACUACAUUAAAUCAUCUCUGAUUAUUAUAAUACCAAAUAGAAUGUAAAUGUUAUAUUGCAUUGUACUGCUUAAAAAAU
Fukomys damarensis (Damara mole-rat) is the source of this 7449-nucleotide long non-coding RNA. RefSeq lists it as uncharacterized. The record is from RefSeq and is a predicted model, not a curated record. The transcript has 7 exons. Lineage: Eukaryota; Metazoa; Chordata; Mammalia; Rodentia; Bathyergidae.